Molecule: small RNA, 855 nt
Filed under: Arabidopsis thaliana (thale cress)
Lineage: Eukaryota; Viridiplantae; Streptophyta; Magnoliopsida; Brassicales; Brassicaceae
Description: ATSL081710
Source: RNAcentral
UUUUAAAUUAUUUUUGAACGAUAUAUUAACAAUUAUAGAUAAAAUUUAAUAUAAAUGUUAUUAUAUAUUCAAAACUAAAACCGAAUAUAUAAUCCACGCGAUGCGUGGAUAACUUUCUAAUAAAUAAUAAAUCUAAGACCGCAAAAAAAGACCACUAGAAUGAUAACCGAUCUGUGGUUGGUUUGAUAAGAUUUUGGUUUUAGUUGGAAUAUCAAAUUUUGUCCAAGAAAGAAAAAAGAAUGUUUUGUUAUGAAUAAAGAUGGAUGCCCAUUAUAAGGCCCAUCAUCUAAGCCCAUCAUCUAGAUGUUUCUAGGGUUUUACCCUUUCCUUGUACUCCUAUAUAAAGAACCCUUUAUCUCAAUGGAAUAACACACUCAUUUCCUCUACCUCUUUCUCUGUUUAUAACACGUUAUCAGCACGCUCUAAAAGGUAGAUAUAGAGAUUCUUACUUUUUUUUUAAGAACCAUGUUUACUUAUCGACUCAUGGUUCAUAGUACUUAUUUUCUAUUAUUGAAACAAAACAAUAUGAGCCGAUCGAUGAUUAUAGUAUAGAUCGGUAAAAGCAUGUUUUCAAUGAUUCAAUAAAGAAGAGAAUCAUGCUUAUCAUUUGUUUCUAUAAUUACUAUCGUAUGAUUCAAUGAUUCUACAAAGAAAAUCGUUAAAGAAGAGAAUCAUGCUUGUUAAUUGUUAAUUUUUGUGAUUUACUAUUACAAUAUUGAAUAUAUAAAUUACCAAUUUUAUAAUUAUAUAACUAAUUUUGUAACUAUUCAUAGCCCGGUGGUGGGUGAUGCAAACAUGUAUUAAUGUUUUAGCAUUCCAGUUUUGAAUAGUUGCAUCUAUUUUCAAUAUCAUUUU